GACGAACGCUGGCGGCGUGCUUAACACAUGCAAGUCGAACGGUGAAGCGCCUUCCUUUUUGGUGGGUGUGGAUGAGUGGCGAACGGGUGAGUAACACGUGAGUAACCUGCCCCCUUCUUCUGGAUAACCGCAUGAAAGUGUGGCUAAUACGGGAUAUUCUGGGUCUGUCGCAUGAUGGGUCUGGGAAAGAUAUUGUUUCGGUGGGGGAUGGGCUCGCGGCCUAUCAGCUUGUUGGUGGGGUGAUGGCCUACCAAGGCGGUGACGGGUAGCCGGCCUGGGAGGGUGGACGGUCACACUGGGACUGAGGCACGGCCCAGCCUCCUACGGGAGGCAGCAGUGGGGAAUAUUGCACAAUGGGCGCAAGCCUGAUGCAGCGACGCCGCGUGAGGGAUGGAGGCCUUCGGGUUGUGAACCUCUUUCGCCAGUGAAGCAGGCCUGCCUCGUUUGUGGGUGGGUUGACGGUAGCUGGAUAAGAAGCGCCGGCUAACUACGUG
This 494-nucleotide ribosomal RNA is filed under the name uncultured bacterium. RNAcentral describes it as "partial 16S ribosomal RNA". It matches the Rfam family "Bacterial small subunit ribosomal RNA", at positions 28 to 507 of the family's 1533-position model. The record is from RNAcentral.